This 1475-nucleotide ribosomal RNA is filed under the name uncultured bacterium. RNAcentral's name for it is "bacterial SSU rRNA". It matches the Rfam family "Bacterial small subunit ribosomal RNA". The record is from RNAcentral.
GAGAGUUUGAUCCUGGCUCAGGACGAACGCUGGCGGCACGCUUAACACAUGCAAGUCGAACGAGAGAAGAGGAGCUUGCUUUUCUGAUCUAGUGGCGGACGGGUGAGUAACACGUGAGCAAUCUGCCUUUCAGAGGGGGAUACCGAUUGGAAACGAUCGUUAAUACCGCAUAAUAUAAUUGAACCGCAUGAUUUGAUUAUCAAAGAUUUAUCGCUGAAAGAUGAGCUCGCGUCUGAUUAGCUAGUUGGUAAGGUAACGGCUUACCAAGGCGACGAUCAGUAGCCGGACUGAGAGGUUGAUCGGCCACAUUGGGACUGAGACACGGCCCAGACUCCUACGGGAGGCAGCAGUGGGGAAUAUUGCACAAUGGAGGAAACUCUGAUGCAGCGAUGCCGCGUGAGGGAAGAAGGUUUUAGGAUUGUAAACCUCUGUCUUCAGGGACGAAAAAUGACGGUACCUGAGGAGGAAGCUCCGGCUAACUACGUGCCAGCAGCCGCGGUAAUACGUAGGGAGCGAGCGUUGUCCGGAAUUACUGGGUGUAAAGGGAGCGUAGGCGGGAUCGCAAGUCAGAUGUGAAAACUAUGGGCUUAACCCAUAAACUGCAUUUGAAACUGUGGUUCUUGAGUGAAGUAGAGGUAAGCGGAAUUCCUAGUGUAGCGGUGAAAUGCGUAGAUAUUAGGAGGAACAUCAGUGGCGAAGGCGGCUUACUGGGCUUUAACUGACGCUGAGGCUCGAAAGCGUGGGGAGCAAACAGGAUUAGAUACCCUGGUAGUCCACGCCGUAAACGAUGAUUACUAGGUGUGGGGGGACUGACCCCUUCCGUGCCGCAGCAAACGCAAUAAGUAAUCCACCUGGGGAGUACGACCGCAAGGUUGAAACUCAAAGGAAUUGGCGGGGGCCCGCACAAGCAGUGGAGUAUGUGGAUUAAUUCGAAGCAACGCGAAGAACCUUACCAGGUCUUGACAUCGUAUGCAUAGCUCAGAGAUGAGUGAAAUCUCUUCGGAGACAUAUAGACAGGUGGUGCAUGGUUGUCGUCAGCUCGUGUCGUGAGAUGUUGGGUUAAGUCCCGCAACGAGCGCAACCCUUACUGUUAGUUGCUACGCAAGAGCACUCUAGCAGGACUGCCGUUGACAAAACGGAGGAAGGUGGGGAUGACGUCAAAUCAUCAUGCCCCUUAUGACCUGGGCCUCACACGUACUACAAUGGCUGUAAACAGAGGGAUGCAAAGCCGCGAGGUGGAGCGAACCCCUAAAAGCAGUCUUAGUUCGGAUUGUAGGCUGCAACCCGCCUACAUGAAGUCGGAAUUGCUAGUAAUCGCAGAUCAGCAUGCUGCGGUGAAUACGUUCCCGGGCCUUGUACACACCGCCCGUCACGCCAUGGGAGUCGGUAACACCCGAAGCCUGUAGUCUAACCGCAAGGAGGACGCAGUCGAAGGUGGGAUUGAUGACUGGGGUGAAGUCGUAACAAGGUAGCCG